CCCUGUUGACAAUAAUUAAAAAAAAAAAAAACAAAUGAAAAAAGUUGACAAAUAGGUGUUGAAAGCUAUUUAAUGAGAAAAUAAACAAUUACAAUAUCUUUGUCACACUCAAGUUUUACUCAAUAUCUUUGUCACACUUAAUUUUUACUCAAUAUCUUUGUCACACUCAAAUUUUACUCAAUAUCUUUAUCACACUCAAGUUUUACUCAAUAUCUUUGUCACACUCAAGUUUACUCAAUAUCUUUGUCACACUCAAGUUUUACUGAAUAUUUUUGUCACACUCACAUUUACUGUAGAACUCUGAUAGGAAAAUAAAUUGU
This 320-nucleotide long non-coding RNA is filed under the name Mytilus galloprovincialis (Mediterranean mussel). The record is from RNAcentral. Lineage: Eukaryota; Metazoa; Mollusca; Bivalvia; Mytilida; Mytilidae.